GUUUGANCAUGGCUCAGGACGAACGCUGGCGGCGUGCUUAACACAUGCAAGUCGAACGAUGAAGCCCUUCGGGGUGGAUUAGUGGCGAACGGGUGAGUAACACGUGGGCAAUCUGCCCUUCACUCUGGGACAAGCCCUGGAAACGGGGUCUAAUACCGGAUAAUACUUUCUCUCUCAUGGGGGAAGGUUAAAAGCUCCGGCGGUGAAGGAUGAGCCCGCGGCCUAUCAGCUAGUUGGUGGGGUAAUGGCCUACCAAGGCGACGACGGGUAGCCGGCCUGAGAGGGCGACCGGCCACACUGGGACUGAGACACGGCCCAGACUCCUACGGGAGGCAGCAGUGGGGAAUAUUGCACAAUGGGCGAAAGCCUGAUGCAGCGACGCCGCGUGAGGGAUGACGGCCUUCGGGUUGUAAACCUCUUUCAGCAG
Molecule: ribosomal RNA, 427 nt
Filed under: Streptomyces brevispora
Lineage: Bacteria; Bacillati; Actinomycetota; Actinomycetes; Kitasatosporales; Streptomycetaceae
Description: bacterial SSU rRNA
Rfam family: Bacterial small subunit ribosomal RNA
Source: RNAcentral